AUACGUAGGGGGCAAGCGUUAUCCGGAUUUACUGGGUGUAAAGGGAGCGUAGACGGAAUGGCAAGUCUGAUGUGAAAGGCCGGGGCUCAACCCCGGGACUGCAUUGGAAACUGUCAGGCUAGAGUGCAGGAGGGGUAAGCGGAAUUCCUAGUGUAGCGGUGAAAUGCGUAGAUAUUAGGAGGAACACCGGUGGCGAAGGCAUCUCACGAAGGGUUGAUUGACGCUGAGGCACGAAAGCGUGGGGAUCAAACAGGAUUAGAUACCCUGGUAGUCCACACCGUAAACGAUGGAUACUAGGUGUGCGGGGACUGACCCCCUGCGUGCCGCAGUUAACACAAUAAGUAUCCCACCUGGGGAGUACGAUCGCAAGAUUGAAACUCAAAUGAAUUGACGGGG
RNAcentral lists this ribosomal RNA (396 nucleotides) under uncultured bacterium. Its description in RNAcentral is "partial 16S ribosomal RNA". It matches the Rfam family "Bacterial small subunit ribosomal RNA", at positions 523 to 918 of the family's 1533-position model. The record is from RNAcentral.